UUCCGGUUGAUCCUGCCGGACCUGACUGCUAUCGGAUUGAUACUAAGCCAUGCGAGUCAUUGUAGCAAUACAAGGCAUACGGCUCAGUAACGCGUAGUCAACCUAACCUAUGGACGGGAAUAACCUCGGGAAACUGAGAAUAAUGCCCGAUAGAACAUUAUACCUGGAAUGGUUUAUGUUCCAAAUGAUUUAUCGCCGUAGGAUGGGACUGCGGCCUAUCAGUUUGUUGGUGAGGUAAUGGCCCACCAAGACUAUUACAGGUACGGGCUCUGAGAGGAGUAGCCCGGAGAUGGGUACUGAGACACGGACCCAGGCCCUAUGGGGCGCAGCAGGCGAGAAAACUUUGCAAUGUGCGAAAGCACGACAAGGUUAAUCCGAGUGAUUUCUGCUAAAGAAAUCUUUUGUUAGUCCUAGAAACACUAACGAAUAAGGGGUGGGCAAGUUCUGGUGUCAGCCGCCGCGGUAAAACCAGCACCUCAAGUGGUCAGGAUGAUUAUUGGGCCUAAAGCAUCCGUAGCCGGCUCUGUAAGUUUUCGGUUAAAUCUGUACGCUCAACGUACAGGCUGCCGGGAAUACUGCAGAGCUAGGGAGUGGGAGAGGUAGACGGUACUCGGUAGGAAGGGGUAAAAUCCUUUGAUCUAUCGAUGACCACCUGUGGCGAAGGCGGUCUACCAGAACACGUCCGACGGUGAGGGAUGAAAGCUGGGGGAGCAAACCGGAUUAGAUACCCGGGUAGUCCCAGCUGUAAACUAUGCAAACUCAGUGAUGCAUUGGCUUGUGGCCAAUGCAGUGCUGCAGGGAAGCCGUUAAGUUUGCCGCCUGGGAAGUACGUACGCAAGUAUGAAACUUAAAGGAAUUGGCGGGGGAGCACCACAAGGGGUGAAGCUUGCGGUUCAAUUGGAGUCAACGCCGGA
RNAcentral lists this ribosomal RNA (914 nucleotides) under uncultured archaeon. Its description in RNAcentral is "bacterial SSU rRNA". It matches the Rfam family "Archaeal small subunit ribosomal RNA", at positions 1 to 922 of the family's 1478-position model. The record is from RNAcentral.